Molecule: ribosomal RNA, 1543 nt
Filed under: Salmonella enterica subsp. enterica serovar Infantis
Lineage: Bacteria; Pseudomonadati; Pseudomonadota; Gammaproteobacteria; Enterobacterales; Enterobacteriaceae
Description: bacterial SSU rRNA
Rfam family: Bacterial small subunit ribosomal RNA
Source: RNAcentral
AAAUUGAAGAGUUUGAUCAUGGCUCAGAUUGAACGCUGGCGGCAGGCCUAACACAUGCAAGUCGAACGGUAACAGGAAGCAGCUUGCUGCUUUGCUGACGAGUGGCGGACGGGUGAGUAAUGUCUGGGAAACUGCCUGAUGGAGGGGGGAUAACUACUGGAAACGGUGGCUAAUACCGCAUAACGUCGCAAGACCAAAGAGGGGGACCUUCGGGCCUCUUGCCAUCAGAUGUGCCCAGAUGGGAUUAGCUUGUUGGUGAGGUAACGGCUCACCAAGGCGACGAUCCCUAGCUGGUCUGAGAGGAUGACCAGCCACACUGGAACUGAGACACGGUCCAGACUCCUACGGGAGGCAGCAGUGGGGAAUAUUGCACAAUGGGCGCAAGCCUGAUGCAGCCAUGCCGCGUGUAUGAAGAAGGCCUUCGGGUUGUAAAGUACUUUCAGCGGGGAGGAAGGUGUUGUGGUUAAUAACCGCAGCAAUUGACGUUACCCGCAGAAGAAGCACCGGCUAACUCCGUGCCAGCAGCCGCGGUAAUACGGAGGGUGCAAGCGUUAAUCGGAAUUACUGGGCGUAAAGCGCACGCAGGCGGUCUGUCAAGUCGGAUGUGAAAUCCCCGGGCUCAACCUGGGAACUGCAUUCGAAACUGGCAGGCUUGAGUCUUGUAGAGGGGGGUAGAAUUCCAGGUGUAGCGGUGAAAUGCGUAGAGAUCUGGAGGAAUACCGGUGGCGAAGGCGGCCCCCUGGACAAAGACUGACGCUCAGGUGCGAAAGCGUGGGGAGCAAACAGGAUUAGAUACCCUGGUAGUCCACGCCGUAAACGAUGUCUACUUGGAGGUUGUGCCCUUGAGGCGUGGCUUCCGGAGCUAACGCGUUAAGUAGACCGCCUGGGGAGUACGGCCGCAAGGUUAAAACUCAAAUGAAUUGACGGGGGCCCGCACAAGCGGUGGAGCAUGUGGUUUAAUUCGAUGCAACGCGAAGAACCUUACCUGGUCUUGACAUCCACAGAAGAAUCCAGAGAUGGAUUUGUGCCUUCGGGAACUGUGAGACAGGUGCUGCAUGGCUGUCGUCAGCUCGUGUUGUGAAAUGUUGGGUUAAGUCCCGCAACGAGCGCAACCCUUAUCCUUUGUUGCCAGCGGUCCGGCCGGGAACUCAAAGGAGACUGCCAGUGAUAAACUGGAGGAAGGUGGGGAUGACGUCAAGUCAUCAUGGCCCUUACGACCAGGGCUACACACGUGCUACAAUGGCGCAUACAAAGAGAAGCGACCUCGCGAGAGCAAGCGGACCUCAUAAAGUGCGUCGUAGUCCGGAUUGGAGUCUGCAACUCGACUCCAUGAAGUCGGAAUCGCUAGUAAUCGUGGAUCAGAAUGCCACGGUGAAUACGUUCCCGGGCCUUGUACACACCGCCCGUCACACCAUGGGAGUGGGUUGCAAAAGAAGUAGGUAGCUUAACCUUCGGGAGGGCGCUUACCACUUUGUGAUUCAUGACUGGGGUGAAGUCGUAACAAGGUAACCGUAGGGGAACCUGCGGUUGGAUCACCUCCUUA